AGUGAACGCUGGCGGUAGGCCUAACACAUGCAAGUCGAACGGCAGCACAGAGGAGCUUGCUCCUUGGGUGGCGAGUGGCGGACGGGUGAGGAAUACAUCGGAAUCUACUCUGUCGUGGGGGAUAAUGUAGGGAAACUUACGCUAAUACCGCAUACGACCUACGGGUGAAAGCAGGGGACCUUCGGGCCUUGCGCGAUUGAAUGAGCCGAUGUCGGAUGAGCUAGUUGGCGGGGUAAAGGCCCACCAAGGCGACGAACCGUAGCUGGUCUGAGAGGAUGAUCAGCAACACUGGAACUGAGACACGGUCCAGACUCCUACGGGAGGCAGCAGUGGGGAAUAUUGGACAAUGGGCGCAAGCCUGAUCCAGCCAUACCGCGUGGGUGAGGAAGGCCUUCGGGUUGUAAAGCCCUUUUGUUGGGAAAGAAAUCCAGCUGGCUAAUACCCGGUUGGGAUGACGGUACCCAAAGAAUAAGCACCGGCUAACUUCGUGCCAGCCGCCGCGGUAA
Molecule: ribosomal RNA, 506 nt
Filed under: uncultured bacterium
Lineage: Bacteria
Description: partial 16S ribosomal RNA
Rfam family: Bacterial small subunit ribosomal RNA
Source: RNAcentral